AACAUGUGCUAGGGGUGCCUUAAUGGCUGAGAGAUGUCUUACAUUAACCCUUUUACCUGAUCUGGCUAAUACCAGCGUAGGGAAGCGAUAGUAUAUAAAA
This 100-nucleotide non-coding RNA is filed under the name Clostridium intestinale. RNAcentral describes it as "TPP sequence". It matches the Rfam family "TPP riboswitch aptamer (THI element)". Rfam says of the family: Vitamin B(1) in its active form thiamin pyrophosphate (TPP) is an essential coenzyme that is synthesised by coupling of pyrimidine and thiazole moieties in bacteria. The previously detected thiamin-regulatory element, thi box was extended, resulting in a new, highly conserved RNA secondary structure, the THI element, which is widely distributed in eubacteria and also occurs in some archaea. Analysis of operon structures identified a large number of new candidate thiamin-regulated genes, mostly transporters, in various prokaryotic organisms. RNAcentral also lists the same sequence under 1 other name. The record is from RNAcentral. Lineage: Bacteria; Bacillati; Bacillota; Clostridia; Eubacteriales; Clostridiaceae.